Molecule: ribosomal RNA, 615 nt
Filed under: Triticum aestivum (bread wheat)
Lineage: Eukaryota; Viridiplantae; Streptophyta; Magnoliopsida; Poales; Poaceae
Description: partial small subunit ribosomal RNA
Source: RNAcentral
GUGCUUAAGAUAGAUUUGGCUAAAGCUUUUGAGAGAAUUAAGUGGUGCUUUAUCGAGAGCUUUCUACAUAAAGGGCUACAUAGUCAUUUUGCAAAUUUAAUUAUGGAUUGUAUUUCUUCUGCGACCUUUUAUGUUCACAUUAAUGGACAACCAUUUGGCAGCUUUAGGUGAUCUCGAGGUAUCCGACAAAGUUGUCCUCUAUCUCCGUAUAUUUUUAUUCUAGUGGUUAAUGAGUUAUUAUUUUCAAUACAAGAGGCUUUAAAUGCUAAUACUUUGAGCAAUAUUUAGUUAGGUCCUGAUUGCAAUCUUAUCCACUCUUUAAUAUUUGCUGAUGAUCUUAUUGUUUGUGGUAGGGCUGAUAAUGAUGACACUAAUGUGAUAGCUUCUAUUAUUAAUGAAUUUUGUGCAGUUUAUAGACAAACUACUAAUUGGAAUAAAUCUACUAUCCUUAUUAGUAAGCACACAGAUGAUAAUCUGGAAAAUCUGAUUAAGAAUAUUUUCCUGCUCCUAAUAUGGAUCCCGGCACAACUCAUCUUGGUCAUCCUUUUAUCUUUCCUGGAAGAAAUAGUCCUGCAGCCUACAAUAUCAUUGUUGAUAAAUAUAAACCUAACUUAA